GCAUUACAGUACUCAUAUAAGAGCUAGUCACUGAUUGGCUGAGAGGACACACUCUGUACACAGGAAAACCACACUUCCUGUUGUUGUUGCCAUGGUGCUGUCAUUCAGCCUGAGGAAGAGAGUCCAAAUGUUAUUAUUGAUGGUAUAGGUCUCACACUCUGCUGGUAUUGAUGGAUGGUAUAGGUCUCACUCUGCUGGUAUUGAUGGAUGGUAUAGGUCUCACACUCUGCUGGUAUUGAUGGUUGGUAUAGGUCUCACACUCUGCUGGUAUUGAUGGAUGGUAUAGGUCUCACUCUGCUGGUAUUGAUGGAUGGUAUAGGUCUCACUCUGCUGGUAUUGAUGGAUGGUAUAGGUCUCUUCUUCUUCUUCUUUGGUCUCCUCUGUCCCUG
RNAcentral lists this long non-coding RNA (389 nucleotides) under Salmo salar (Atlantic salmon). RNAcentral describes it as "lncRNA (ENSSSAG00000081918.1)". The record is from RNAcentral. Lineage: Eukaryota; Metazoa; Chordata; Actinopteri; Salmoniformes; Salmonidae.